RNAcentral lists this ribosomal RNA (517 nucleotides) under uncultured bacterium. RNAcentral's name for it is "bacterial SSU rRNA". It matches the Rfam family "Bacterial small subunit ribosomal RNA", at positions 8 to 521 of the family's 1533-position model. The record is from RNAcentral.
AGAGUUUGAUCCUGGCUCAGGAUGAACGCUGGCGGCGUGCUAACACAUGCAAGUCGAACGGAGUUCUUAAGGAAUGCGACUUCGGUCAAAUGACUUUUGAACUUAGUGGCGGACGGGUGAGUAACGCGUGAGCAACCUGCCUUUCAGAGGGGGAUAACAUUUGGAAACAGAUGCUAAUACCGCAUAAGAUUACAGUACCGCAUGAUACAGUGAUCAAAGGAGCAAUCCGCUGAAAGAUGGGCUCGCGUCCGAUUAGAUAGUUGGUGAGGUAACGGCUCACCAAGUCGACGAUCGGUAGCCGGACUGAGAGGUUGAACGGCCACAUUGGGACUGAGACACGGCCCAGACUCCUACGGGAGGCAGCAGUGGGGAAUAUUGCACAAUGGGCGAAAGCCUGAUGCAGCAACGCCGCGUGAGGGAAGACGGUUUUCGGAUUGUAAACCUCUGUUUUCGGUGACGAAUAAAUGACGGUAACCGAGUAGGAAGCCACGGCUAACUACGUGCCAGCAGCCGCGGU